RNAcentral lists this ribosomal RNA (831 nucleotides) under Staphylococcus sp. NAIP12Z3. RNAcentral's name for it is "bacterial SSU rRNA". It matches the Rfam family "Bacterial small subunit ribosomal RNA", at positions 50 to 860 of the family's 1533-position model. Lineage: Bacteria; Bacillati; Bacillota; Bacilli; Caryophanales; Staphylococcaceae. The record is from RNAcentral.
UAUACAUGCGAGUCGAGUGGACAGACGAGGAGCUUGCUCCUCUGACGUUAGCGGCGGACGGGUGAGUAACACGUGGAUAACCUACCUAUAAGACUGGGAUAACUUCGGGAAACCGGAGCUAAUACCGGAUAAUAUAUUGAACCGCAUGGUUCAAUAGUGAAAGACGGUUUUGCUGUCACUUAUAGAUGGAUCCGCGCCGCAUUAGCUAGUUGGUAAGGUAACGGCUUACCAAGGCAACGAUGCGUAGCCGACCUGAGAGGGUGAUCGGCCACACUGGAACUGAGACACGGUCCAGACUCCUACGGGAGGCAGCAGUAGGGAAUCUUCCGCAAUGGGCGAAAGCCUGACGGAGCAACGCCGCGUGAGUGAUGAAGGUCUUCGGAUCGUAAAACUCUGUUAUUAGGGAAGAACAAAUGUGUAAGUAACUAUGCACGUCUUGACGGUACCUAAUCAGAAAGCCACGGCUAACUACGUGCCAGCAGCCGCGGUAAUACGUAGGUGGCAAGCGUUAUCCGGAAUUAUUGGGCGUAAAGCGCGCGUAGGCGGUUUUUUAAGUCUGAUGUGAAAGCCCACGGCUCAACCGUGGAGGGUCAUUGGAAACUGGAAAACUUGAGUGCAGAAGAGGAAAGUGGAAUUCCAUGUGUAGCGGUGAAAUGCGCAGAGAUAUGGAGGAACACCAGUGGCGAAGGCGACUUUCUGGUCUGUAACUGACGCUGAUGUGCGAAAGCGUGGGGAUCAAACAGGAUUAGAUACCCUGGUAGUCCACGCCGUAAACGAUGAGUGCUAAGUGUUAAGGGGGGUUUCCGCCCCUUAGUGCUGCAGCUAACGCAU